RNAcentral lists this ribosomal RNA (2903 nucleotides) under Escherichia coli. RNAcentral's name for it is "23S ribosomal RNA". It matches the Rfam family "Bacterial large subunit ribosomal RNA". Lineage: Bacteria; Pseudomonadati; Pseudomonadota; Gammaproteobacteria; Enterobacterales; Enterobacteriaceae. The record is from RNAcentral.
UUAAGCGACUAAGCGUACACGGUGGAUGCCCUGGCAGUCAGAGGCGAUGAAGGACGUGCUAAUCUGCGAUAAGCGUCGGUAAGGUGAUAUGAACCGUUAUAACCGGCGAUUUCCGAAUGGGGAAACCCAGUGUGAUUCGUCACACUAUCAUUAACUGAAUCCAUAGGUUAAUGAGGCGAACCGGGGGAACUGAAACAUCUAAGUACCCCGAGGAAAAGAAAUCAACCGAGAUUCCCCCAGUAGCGGCGAGCGAACGGGGAGCAGCCCAGAGCCUGAAUCAGUGUGUGUGUUAGUGGAAGCGUCUGGAAAGGCGUGCGAUACAGGGUGACAGCCCCGUACACAAAAAUGCACAUGCUGUGAGCUCGAUGAGUAGGGCGGGACACGUGGUAUCCUGUCUGAAUAUGGGGGGACCAUCCUCCAAGGCUAAAUACUCCUGACUGACCGAUAGUGAACCAGUACCGUGAGGGAAAGGCGAAAAGAACCCCGGCGAGGGGAGUGAAAAAGAACCUGAAACCGUGUACGUACAAGCAGUGGGAGCACAGAGCAAUCUGUGUGACUGCGUACCUUUUGUAUAAUGGGUCAGCGACUUAUAUUCUGUAGCAAGGUUAACCGAAUAGGGGAGCCGAAGGGAAACCGAGUCUUAACUGGGCGUUAAGUUGCAGGGUAUAGACCCGAAACCCGGUGAUCUAGCCAUGGGCAGGUUGAAGGUUGGGUAACACUAACUGGAGGACCGAACCGACUAAUGUUGAAAAAUUAGCGGAUGACUUGUGGCUGGGGGUGAAAGGCCAAUCAAACCGGGAGAUAGCUGGUUCUCCCCGAAAGCUAUUUAGGUAGCGCCUCGUGAAUUCAUCUCCGGGGGUAGAGCACUGUUUCGGCAAGGGGGUCAUCCCGACUUACCAACCCGAUGCAAACUGCGAAUACCGGAGAAUGUUAUCACGGGAGACACACGGCGGGUGCUAACGUCCGUCGUGAAGAGGGAAACAACCCAGACCGCCAGCUAAGGUCCCAAAGUCAUGGUUAAGUGGGAAACGAUGUGGGAAGGCCCAGACAGCCAGGAUGUUGGCUUAGAAGCAGCCAUCAUUUAAAGAAAGCGUAAUAGCUCACUGGUCGAGUCGGCCUGCGCGGAAGAUGUAACGGGGCUAAACCAUGCACCGAAGCUGCGGCAGCGACGCUUAUGCGUUGUUGGGUAGGGGAGCGUUCUGUAAGCCUGCGAAGGUGUGCUGUGAGGCAUGCUGGAGGUAUCAGAAGUGCGAAUGCUGACAUAAGUAACGAUAAAGCGGGUGAAAAGCCCGCUCGCCGGAAGACCAAGGGUUCCUGUCCAACGUUAAUCGGGGCAGGGUGAGUCGACCCCUAAGGCGAGGCCGAAAGGCGUAGUCGAUGGGAAACAGGUUAAUAUUCCUGUACUUGGUGUUACUGCGAAGGGGGGACGGAGAAGGCUAUGUUGGCCGGGCGACGGUUGUCCCGGUUUAAGCGUGUAGGCUGGUUUUCCAGGCAAAUCCGGAAAAUCAAGGCUGAGGCGUGAUGACGAGGCACUACGGUGCUGAAGCAACAAAUGCCCUGCUUCCAGGAAAAGCCUCUAAGCAUCAGGUAACAUCAAAUCGUACCCCAAACCGACACAGGUGGUCAGGUAGAGAAUACCAAGGCGCUUGAGAGAACUCGGGUGAAGGAACUAGGCAAAAUGGUGCCGUAACUUCGGGAGAAGGCACGCUGAUAUGUAGGUGAAGUCCCUCGCGGAUGGAGCUGAAAUCAGUCGAAGAUACCAGCUGGCUGCAACUGUUUAUUAAAAACACAGCACUGUGCAAACACGAAAGUGGACGUAUACGGUGUGACGCCUGCCCGGUGCCGGAAGGUUAAUUGAUGGGGUCAGCGCAAGCGAAGCUCUUGAUCGAAGCCCCGGUAAACGGCGGCCGUAACUAUAACGGUCCUAAGGUAGCGAAAUUCCUUGUCGGGUAAGUUCCGACCUGCACGAAUGGCGUAAUGAUGGCCAGGCUGUCUCCACCCGAGACUCAGUGAAAUUGAACUCGCUGUGAAGAUGCAGUGUACCCGCGGCAAGACGGAAAGACCCCGUGAACCUUUACUAUAGCUUGACACUGAACAUUGAGCCUUGAUGUGUAGGAUAGGUGGGAGGCUUUGAAGUGUGGACGCCAGUCUGCAUGGAGCCGACCUUGAAAUACCACCCUUUAAUGUUUGAUGUUCUAACGUUGACCCGUAAUCCGGGUUGCGGACAGUGUCUGGUGGGUAGUUUGACUGGGGCGGUCUCCUCCUAAAGAGUAACGGAGGAGCACGAAGGUUGGCUAAUCCUGGUCGGACAUCAGGAGGUUAGUGCAAUGGCAUAAGCCAGCUUGACUGCGAGCGUGACGGCGCGAGCAGGUGCGAAAGCAGGUCAUAGUGAUCCGGUGGUUCUGAAUGGAAGGGCCAUCGCUCAACGGAUAAAAGGUACUCCGGGGAUAACAGGCUGAUACCGCCCAAGAGUUCAUAUCGACGGCGGUGUUUGGCACCUCGAUGUCGGCUCAUCACAUCCUGGGGCUGAAGUAGGUCCCAAGGGUAUGGCUGUUCGCCAUUUAAAGUGGUACGCGAGCUGGGUUUAGAACGUCGUGAGACAGUUCGGUCCCUAUCUGCCGUGGGCGCUGGAGAAUUGAGGGGGGCUGCUCCUAGUACGAGAGGACCGGAGUGGACGCAUCACUGGUGUUCGGGUUGUCAUGCCAAUGGCACUGCCCGGUAGCUAAAUGCGGAAGAGAUAAGUGCUGAAAGCAUCUAAGCACGAAACUUGCCCCGAGAUGAGUUCUCCCUGACUCCUUGAGAGUCCUGAAGGAACGUUGAAGACGACGACGUUGAUAGGCCGGGUGUGUAAGCGCAGCGAUGCGUUGAGCUAACCGGUACUAAUGAACCGUGAGGCUUAACCU